GUGCUCGCUUCAGCAGCACNUNUACUAAAAUUGGAAUGAUACGUAGAAGAUUAGCAUGGCCCCUGUGCAAGGAUGACACGCAAAUUUGUGAAGCGUUCCAUAUUUUA
Molecule: small nuclear RNA, 107 nt
Filed under: Salvator merianae (Argentine black and white tegu)
Lineage: Eukaryota; Metazoa; Chordata; Lepidosauria; Squamata; Teiidae
Source: RNAcentral